This 440-nucleotide ribosomal RNA is filed under the name uncultured bacterium. RNAcentral's name for it is "partial 16S ribosomal RNA". It matches the Rfam family "Bacterial small subunit ribosomal RNA", at positions 338 to 795 of the family's 1533-position model. The record is from RNAcentral.
CCUACGGGUGGCAGCAGUGGGGAAUAUUGGACAAUGGGGGAAACCCUGAUCCAGCGACGCCGCGUGAGUGAAGAAGGAUUUCGGUACGUAAAGCUCUAUCAGCAGGAAAGAAAAUGACGGUACCUGACUAAGAAGCCCCGGCUAACUACGUGCCAGCAGCCGCGGUAAUACGUAGGGGGCAAGCGUUAUCCGGAUUUACUGGGUGGAAAGGGAGCGUAGACGGCAGCGCAAGUCUGGAGUGAAAUGUCGGGGCCCAACCCCGGAACUGCUCUGGAAACUGUGAAGCUGGAGUGCAGGAGAGGUAAGCGGAAUUCCGUGUGUAGCGGUGAAAUGCGUCGAUAUACGGAGGAACACCAGUGGCGAAGGCGGCUUGCUGGACAGUAACUGCCGCUGAGGCGCGAAAGCGUGGGGAGCAAACAGGAUUAGAUACCCCGGUAGUC